RNAcentral lists this ribosomal RNA (1074 nucleotides) under Advenella sp. RNAcentral's name for it is "bacterial SSU rRNA". It matches the Rfam family "Bacterial small subunit ribosomal RNA", at positions 47 to 1108 of the family's 1533-position model. The record is from RNAcentral. Lineage: Bacteria; Pseudomonadati; Pseudomonadota; Betaproteobacteria; Burkholderiales; Alcaligenaceae.
CAUUAAACAUGCAGUCGAACGGCAGCGGGAAAGUAGCUUGCUACUUUUGCCGGCGAGUGGCGAACGGGUGAGUAAUGUAUCGGAACGUGCCCAGUAGCGGGGGAUAACUACGCGAAAGCGUGGCUAAUACCGCAUACGCCCUACGGGGGAAAGGGGGGGAUCUUAGGACCUCUCACUAUUGGAGCGGCCGAUAUCGGAUUAGCUAGUUGGUGGGGUAAAGGCCUACCAAGGCGACGAUCCGUAGCUGGUUUGAGAGGACGACCAGCCACACUGGGACUGAGACACGGCCCAGACUCCUACGGGAGGCAGCAGUGGGGAAUUUUGGACAAUGGGGGAAACCCUGAUCCAGCCAUCCCGCGUGUGCGAUGAAGGCCUUCGGGUUGUAAAGCACUUUUGUCAGGGAAGAAAAGGUUUCGGAUAAUACCCGGAACUGAUGACGGUACCUGAAGAAUAAGCACCGGCUAACUACGUGCCAGCAGCCGCGGUAAUACGUAGGGUGCAAGCGUUAAUCGGAAUUACUGGGCGUAAAGCGUGCGCAGGCGGUUCGGAAAGAAAGAUGUGAAAUCCCAGGGCUCAACCUUGGAACUGCAUUUUUAACUACCGAACUAGAGUAUGUCAGAGGGGGGUGGAAUUCCACGUGUAGCAGUGAAAUGCGUAGAUAUGUGGAGGAACACCGAUGGCGAAGGCAGCCCCCUGGGAUAAUACUGACGCUCAUGCACGAAAGCGUGGGGAGCAAACAGGAUUAGAUACCCUGGUAGUCCACGCCCUAAACGAUGUCAACUAGCUGUUGGGCCCUUCGGGGCUUAGUAGCGCAGCUAACGCGUGAAGUUGACCGCCUGGGGAGUACGGUCGCAAGAUUAAAACUCAAAGGAAUUGACGGGGACCCGCACAAGCGGUGGAUGAUGUGGAUUAAUUCGAUGCAACGCGAAAAACCUUACCUACCCUUGACAUGUCUGGAAUCCUGAAGAGAUUUAGGAGUGCUCGCAAGAGAACCGGAACACAGGUGCUGCAUGGCUGUCGUCAGCUCGGGUCGUGAGAUGUUGGGUUAAGUCCCGCAACGAGCGCAACCCUUCA